UAAUACGUAGGGGGCUAGCGUUGUCCGGAUUUAUUGGGCGUAAAGAGCGUGUAGGCGGCCAGGUAGGUCCGGUGUGAAAACUCGAGGCUUAACCUCGAGAUGUCAUCGGAAACCAUCUGGCUAGAGUCCGGAAGAGGAGAGUGGAAUUCCUGGUGUAGCGGUGAAAUGCGCAGAUAUCAGGAAGAACACCUAUGGCGAAAGCAGCUCUCUGGGACGGUACUGACGCUGAGACGCGA
This 236-nucleotide ribosomal RNA is filed under the name uncultured bacterium. Its description in RNAcentral is "partial 16S ribosomal RNA". It matches the Rfam family "Bacterial small subunit ribosomal RNA", at positions 521 to 756 of the family's 1533-position model. The record is from RNAcentral.